GAUGAAGAACGCAGCGAAAUGCGAUAAGUAGUGUGAAUUGCAGAAUUCAGUGAAUCAUCGAAUCUUUGAACGCACAUUGCGCCCCUUGGUAUUCCAUGGGGCAUGCCUGUUCGAGCGUCAUUUGUACCUUCAAGCUUUGCUUGGUGUUGGGUGUUUGUCCUGAGGGACUCGCCUUAAAGUAAUUGGCAGCCAGUGUUUGGUUUUGAAGCGCAGCACAAGUCGCGAUUCAAAGCUAUACGCCCGCUUCCACAAGCCUUUUUCACUUUUGACCUCGGAUCAGGUAGGGAUACCCGCUGAACUUAAGUAUAUCAAUAAGCGGAGGA
Molecule: unclassified non-coding RNA, 323 nt
Filed under: soil metagenome
Description: partial contains 5.8S ribosomal RNA, internal transcribed spacer 2, and large subunit ribosomal RNA
Rfam family: 5.8S ribosomal RNA (bases 1-120)
Source: RNAcentral